GAUGAACGCUGGCGGCGUGCUUAACACAUGCAAGUCGAGCGAGAAGUUUUGAAAAGAUUCUUCGGAUGAAAUUUAAAAUGGAAAGCGGCGGACGGGUGAGUAACGCGUAGGCAACCUGCCCCAUACAAAGGGAUAGCAUUUGGAAACGAAUAUUAAUACCUUAUGAAACUUAACUAGUGCAUGCUAGGUAGGUCAAAGAUUUAUCGGUAUGGGAUGGGCCUGCGUCUGAUUAGCUAGUUGGUGAGGUAACGGCUCACCAAGGCGACGAUCAGUAGCCGACCUGAGAAGGUGGACCGCCACAUUGGGAAUGAGGCACCGUCCAAGAUCCUUACGGAGGGAACAAUGGGGAAAUAUGGGACAAGGGGGGAAAGCUGGUGCAACAACGGCCCGUGAACGAUUGAAGCCUUUAGGUUGUAAAGUUCUGUUUUACCUGGAGAAUAAUGACAGUACCGUAAGAGAAAGCCCCGGCUAACUCCGUG
Molecule: ribosomal RNA, 479 nt
Filed under: uncultured bacterium
Lineage: Bacteria
Description: partial 16S ribosomal RNA
Rfam family: Bacterial small subunit ribosomal RNA
Source: RNAcentral